RNAcentral lists this ribosomal RNA (492 nucleotides) under uncultured bacterium. RNAcentral describes it as "partial 16S ribosomal RNA". It matches the Rfam family "Bacterial small subunit ribosomal RNA", at positions 29 to 507 of the family's 1533-position model. The record is from RNAcentral.
AGUGAACGCUGGCGGUAGGCCUAACACAUGCAAGUCGAACGGCAGCACAGUAAGAGCUUGCUCUUACGGGUGGCGAGUGGCGGACGGGUGAGGAAUACAUCGGAAUCUACUUUUUCGUGGGGGAUAACGUAGGGAAACUUACGCUAAUACCGCAUACGACCUACGGGUGAAAGCAGGGGAUCUUCGGACCUUGCGCGAUUGAAUGAGCCGAUGUCGGAUUAGCUAGUUGGCGGGAUAAAGGCCCACCAAGGCGACGAUCCGUAGCUGGUCUGAGAGGAUGAUCAACCACACUGGAACUGAGACACGGUCCAGACUCCUACGGGAGGCAGCAGUGGGGAAUAUUGGACAAUGGGCGCAAGCCUGAUCCAGCCAUACCGCGUGGGUGAAGAAGGCCUUCGGGUUGUAAAGCCCUUUUGUUGGGAAAGAAAAGCAGCAGGUUAAAACCCCGCUGUUCUGACGGUACCCAAAGAAUAAGCACCGGCUAACUUCGUG